UGGCCACCGCAGAAACAGGCACGCCGGGCGCGGCCACUGGCUCCUGGCCCCGACGGCUUCAGCGAGGGCCACUGCGCAUGCGAGGGACAGAGCUGGACCCUGCCGAGGGCUGGGUAAAGGACCGAGAGAGUGGUUGUCGGAGGAACUGGUGACUGAUUUGGGGAAACUCCAGGCGGAGCUCGCCAGAAUCCAGGGGGAAACAGGAAGAGUAGGGGAUGGAGGGCGGACGGUUGGCUCAGAGCGGCGGGGAGACAGCGCGGAUCUGCGGGCGGAGCGGCACGUGCGAGUGCGGGCUCUGUAGAGACGCGAAGUCUCCAGCAGGGUCAUUUAACGAGCUGGCGUUUAUGGAUUGCUAGCCUGAUGAUUUGGUGAACUUUCCAGUUUUCCAUGCUGUUACAACUUUUUUCUUCUCUCCGCUCUCAAAAGCUUUGCUUUUCUAGGCCACUGCCACUCUCCAUAAGGCAGACAUGACUAAUUUCCAGAGUAUUUUUAAGUAAUCUCUACACCGAAGGUGGGACUUGAACUCACAACCCUGAGAUCAACCGUCAUGCUCUACCGACUGAGCCAGCCAGGUGUCCCUUUCCUACAGGGUAUCCUGUUACCAAACCAGAUGUGAUCACCUGUUUGGAGAAGGGAGGACUUCAGAUCAUAGAGAAAUUCCAAGUUUGAGUUAUACAGAUAAAUAAGAAACAGACAGAUGGAGAUGAUGAGUAAGACCCCAGUGGGGCCUGAACCACCUCAACCCCAAAUCAGGACAACCUCCCCCUUCCAUUCCACAUGGAGCUAAGUUUCCUGUUUUCUGAGUCCCCGAAACCUUCGGCCUCCAUUCUCGGGGAGGUAUAGGACUUCUGAGCGCUCUUGACCUGGACAAAAUCUCCACAUAGUCGAUGAGGAAACAGCACAGAGAAGAGUUCUGCCCUAGUUACAAAGCUGGUGAAUGGGGCUUUGAAACCAGGCUGUCUCCAUCAUGUUUGUUUGGUUCUGUCUUCUUCCUUGCUGUGUUCCCAAUGUCUGGAAUACUGUCUGUCAUACAGGAGAAGCUCAUGUUCUAGUGGUGCACGACUCGCAAUAAACAAGAAUUCGAGAUUGCUUCUGAUGGGUCUUUAAAAAAAUCUUACCCCUCUCACGGCUCAGCAUUCUGUCUAGAAUGAAGCAUGAGCUCUGUUCCUGGCAGAGGAGGCCCUACGGCAUCUGCCCCCACUCCCUCCCUCCCACCUCCUACGCUCCCAACACACUGCCAGUUUCCAUUCCUCCCAACACGCCAAAUUGGUCCCACUUCCCGGCCAGGAGGCUCUUUUCUUCGGCUCUUUGUGUGACCGGCUCCUUUUGGUCAGCAAAAUUGUCACCUCCGACGAAAGGAUUUUGUUCCUGCCCAUCCAGAGAAAAGAACCCGUCAGCUGCUGCUUAACACAUUGGCUUCACCAAGGGAUGUGUGUGUCCUAGGUCGCCGCUUAUGUAUCCUUCAGCUUGUUUGUAUGCUGUCCUUCAAAACUCCCGGCUUUAGCCACUGGAUGGAGCCAGUGUGACCUUUCCCAACCUCCCGGCCUUUGUGCACGCUGGGCGAUUCUGCCACGCGUCCCGUCUUCCUGUUCAAUUACACCUGUAAACCCGACGCUGCCCUUCGGGUUCAAGACACCAAAUUCCCGCCUGCCAGAAUUUUCCUCAGUUGGGCAGUUCCCUUCCCCAUCAUAAGGAAAAUGGUUUUCGAAGCCUCAGGCAUGACGGUCUCUGUAGAACCAAGUAGACACCUGCUCUACACCACAGCCCUCGAGGUGUAGAGCCCCGGUGGGCGCGGCCAUCUCAAAGCAGGGACCGCGCGGGCGCGGCCAUCUUCCCUCCGCGCAGGCGCCGCGGCCCCGCCGCGUUCGCGUGGGGCCGGCGGGGGGGGGGGGGCGGGAGGGGGCCCGGUGUUGACUAUUGGCGGACGCGGGCUCAAAGCCCCCACUGAGCGUGCGCACAUCCAACCGCUGCAACCCUGUAGGUUGCGGAGCCUGAGUUGGUCCUGAAGCGGAAGUGCUUCUUGGGGCCAGUUCUUGCACUGGUCUCUGCAGUGAGCAGAAAAUCUAUUGUCGAGAGGCACAGUGACCUGCGCUAAGGGUUCAUACGCACUCCUCAGGCCCCUCCUUAGGCGCCCCCCGCCUCUCCCCGUGCCCCUCUCCCCUUGCCCGCGCCCCAGGGUAGGGGCCUGAUGUGAAUGCUUCAGCCGAAGUGAAUCUGCACCCGAAGGCUUCCUUCUGGCUCCUGGGCAAGCCGGCCCCAGUGAGGAUUAACUUUGGCAUUCAUAAAGUCGACGCUGAGAUGAAGGUACUUACAGAGGAAUUGUGAUGCAUUAGAGUACAUUAUUUCAUUAAGGAAAAUGCCUGGAAAUACUAUUUCUGGCUCAGCCUUCGCACAUCUCUGCCUUUUCCCAAGAAGAACAGAAAAUGGCCAAACCCCAGAGUCUUCCUGUGGAUGGCGGAAUUGUCUUUAAGCACAGCCUGGUGAUAAAUGCAGUCCCUGGUUUCCUGCUGAUAUUUCUUACAGCAUUCCUCAGUGAGCUGGCGACAUAACGUCAAGGUGUAAUUUGGGAACGAAAUGUCUUAGGGAAAUGGCUUUUCUUGAAAUCAUUUUCCUGAAGUAAGUUUAUCAGUCAGACUUUGGAUUCUCAUUUGGCCAAGAGACAGAGUCUUGCAGAUGUGCUUAUAGCCAACCAUCUUUUUUCUUUCAGUAAAAAAAAAAAAAAAAAAAAAAAAAUUUAAAUUAGUGCGUAGGAAUAUUGAAUUUGUUGUCACUGUCCAGUACAAUAAAUAUGAACCCAUUUGGCAUUGUUAAUGUCAGUGCUGAGGUGAAGGUAUUUCAUGAAUACAGAUGGGUGUAACUAAUCUAUGGGAUAGAGAAUAGUUUCAUCAGGCAAAAAAUGCUUUAUGCUACUCCUUUAUGGUUCUUUCCUUCCCCACUUGUAACCUCAGACAACCACAGAUCUGUUCUGCAUCACUACAGUUUUUAUCUUUUCCAGGAUGUCAUAUAAAAGGAAUCAUAUGUAUGUAACCUUUUUUUAGAAAAAUUAAAUGUUCAUUGGAGAUAAUCAAUUGAUGUGCAGUUAUAAAAAUAUAGAGACAUCCCAUGUAUCCUUUACCUGUUUCCCCCAAUAGUACCUCUUACAAAGCUAUAGUAGAAUGUCAUGACCAGGAUGUUGACUUUGCUGUGGUUAAGACAAGCCCCGGCACCGCAGGGACCUCUUAUGUUGCCCUUUUAUAGCCAAAUCCAUCCGUUUUCUCUAAUCCUCCCAUUCUUAGCCUUCUAGGAAUUACCACUCUCCAUUUCUCGAAUUUUGUUGUUUCAAGGAUGAGAUAAAAAUCAAAUCCUGGGUGGCUCAGUGGGUUAAAGCCUCUGCCUUCGAUCCCAGGGUCCUGGGAUCAAGCCCCAUGUUUGGCUCUCUGCUCAGCAGGGAGCCUGCUUCCUCUCUCAGUGCCUGCCUCUCUGCCUACUUGUGAUCUCUGUCUGUCAAAUAAAUAAAUAAAAUCUUUAAGAAAAUAAAAUCCUACAGUAUGUGACCUUUUGACAUUGAGGAUAUUUUUACUCAGCAUAAUUCCCUGGAGAUUCAGACAAGCUGUGUUAGGUCUUUUUAUUGCUGGGUGGUAUUCCAUGAUAUUGAUGCACCACUGCUUGUCUGUCCCUUCUUCUGUUGAAAGACAUUGGAAUUAUUUCCAGUUUUUGACAGUUACAAGUAACACUACUUUAAACCUUCGUACACGGGUUUUUGUCUGAACAUCGGUUUUCAUUUCUCUAGAAUAAAAUAUUGGAUUGCUGGGUCACAUGAUAAGUGAAUGUUUAACUUUUUAAGACACUGCCAGAUUGUUUUCCAGAAUGGUUGAAUCAUUUUUCAUUUCCCCCAGCAAUGUAUAAGAAUUCCAGUUGCUACGUUUUUGUCAGCGCUUGGUAUUGUCAGUAUUUUUAAUUUUAGUCAUUCUGGCUAAAAUUAUAGUUGGUAUCUCAUCAUGGCUUUAAUUUGGGUUUCACUAAUAGCCAAUUAUGUUCAAGGUCUUUAGAUACGCUUAUUUACUUUUUGUGUAUCCUCUUUGAUGAAGUGUUCAGUCUGCUCUUCUGCCCAUUUAAAAUUAGAUUGUUUUCUCACUACUGAGCUUUGAGAGUUCUUUAUGUAUUCUGUGUGCAAGUCCUUUGCUGGAUACAUAGUUUGUGUGGUUUGCCUUUUUAUUCUCUAAACAGAGUGUUCACAGAGCAAGAAUUUUUAAUUUUGAAAAUGUCCUGUGUAUGAAUUAUUUCCUUUAUGGAUGGUGAUUUUGGUGUCAUGGUUAAGAACUCUUUGCUGGAUCCUCAGGUCGUGAAGAUUUUUUUUGAUUCUGUAAGUUUCAUAGUUUUAGCUUUUACAUUUAGACCUGUGAUCUCUUUUGCAUUAAUUUUUAUAUAAGGGGUGAGAAGUAGGUUGAGGGUUAUUAUUUUGCAUAUGGAAUUCCAUUUGUUCCAACCCCAUUUGUCCAAAGGAUCAUUUUUCUCUUUUGAAUUGCUUUUGCAGGUUCGUCAUAAAUCAGUCGGCCAUAUUUGUGGAUCUAUUUCUGGACUCUACUCUGUUCUGUUGAUCUAUGUAUCUAAUCUUCUGCCAGUCCCACACUUUUUUUUUUACACUUUUAUUUAAAUUCCAGUUAGUUAGCAUACAGCUGUUUCCAUAAUUUGGCUAUCAUAGAUAAUGCUGCUAUAAACACUGGGGUCUGUAUGCCUUUGAAUUAGUACUUUUGUAUUCUUUGGCUAAGUACCUAGCAGUGUGAUUGCUGGGUUGUAGGGUAGCUCUAUUUUUAACUUUUUGAGGAACCUCCAUACUGUUUCCAGGAUGACUGCACCAGUUUGCAUCCCCACCAACAGUACAAGAGGGUUCCCCUUUCUCC
Molecule: RNA transcript, 4880 nt
Organism: Mustela lutreola (European mink)
Lineage: Eukaryota; Metazoa; Chordata; Mammalia; Carnivora; Mustelidae
Gene: ZNF182
Gene name: zinc finger protein 182
Exons: 10
Source: RefSeq, a predicted model, not a curated record